GUUCGCCUGCUUCAUGAUGGUCAAGGCCACCAUGACUGAGCGACUCUUUAAUCUGGUCGUGCCGCUGGCUCACGAGGCCACCGCCAUGCGCACCGCAGAUACCGCCGGCAGCAGCCGGGGCCGGUCUGGCGCAGUUUCCCCGCUGAUCGGCGACAGCCUUCGGCGGGGUGACGUAGAUAGCACGAAUGGACG
RNAcentral lists this non-coding RNA (192 nucleotides) under unclassified sequences. RNAcentral describes it as "RT-15 RNA". It matches the Rfam family "RT-15 RNA". From Rfam's summary of the family: Proteobacteria. The record is from Rfam by way of RNAcentral.